CCUCCCGGGGUGGCCAGCCUUGCUGAAUUAUUCCACCCGUGUCUUUUGCGUACUUCUUGUUUCCUUGGUGGGCUCGCCCACCACAAGGACCAACCCAUAAACCUUUUUGCAAUGGCAAUCAGCGUCAGUAACAAUGUAAUAAUUUACAACUUUCAACAACGGAUCUCUUGGUUCUGGCAUCGAUGAAGAACGCAGCGAAAUGCGAUAAGUAGUGUGAAUUGCAGAAUUCAGUGAAUCAUCGAAUCUUUGAACGCACAUUGCGCCCUUUGGUAUUCCAAAGGGCAUGCCUGUUCGAGCGUCAUUUGUACCCUCAAGCUUUGCUUGGUGUUGGGCGUCUUUUUGUCUCCCCUUGCGGGAGACUCGCCUUAAAGUCAUUGGCAGCCGGCCUACUGGUUUCGGAGCGCAGCACAAGUCGCGCUCUCUUCCAGCCCCAAGGUCUAGCAUCCACCAAGCCUUUUUUUUCAACUUUUGACCUCGGAUCAGGUAGGGAUACCCGCUGAACUUAAGCAUAUCAA
Molecule: ribosomal RNA, 515 nt
Filed under: Alternaria porri
Lineage: Eukaryota; Fungi; Ascomycota; Dothideomycetes; Pleosporales; Pleosporaceae
Description: eukaryotic LSU rRNA
Rfam family: 5.8S ribosomal RNA (bases 148-301)
Source: RNAcentral